AGAGUUUGAUCCUGGCUCAGAGUGAACGCUGGCGGCGUGCCUAAUACAUGCAAGUCGAACGAUGAAGCUCUAGCUUGCUAGAGUGGAUUAGUGGCGCACGGGUGAGUAAUGCAUAGAUAACAUGCCCUUUAGUCUAGGAUAGCCAUUGGAAACGAUGAUUAAUACUGGAUACUCCUUACGAGGGAAAGUUUUUCGCUAAAGGAUUGGUCUAUGUCCUAUCAGCUUGUUGGUGAGGUAAUGGCUCACCAAGGCUAUGACGGGUAUCCGGCCUGAGAGGGUGAACGGACACACUGGAACUGAGACACGGUCCAGACUCCUACGGGAGGCAGCAGUAGGGAAUAUUGCUCAAUGGGGGAAACCCUGAAGCAGCAACGCCGCGUGGAGGAUGAAGGUUUUCGGAUUGUAAACUCCUUUUGUUAGAGAAGAUAAUGACGGUAUCUAACGAAUAAGCACCGGCUAACUCCGUGCCAGCAGCCGCGGUAAUACGGAGGGUGCAAGCGUUACUCGGAAUCACUGGGCGUAAAGAGCGCGUAGGCGGGAUAGCAAGUCAGAUGUGAAAUCCUAUGGCUUAACCAUAGAACUGCAUUUGAAACUGUUAUUCUAGAGUAUGGGAGAGGUAGGUGGAAUUCUUGGUGUAGGGGUAAAAUCCGUAGAGAUCAAGAGGAAUACUCAUUGCGAAGGCGACCUGCUAGAACAUAACUGACGCUGAUGCGCGAAAGCGUGGGGAGCAAAUAGGAUUAGAUACCCUGGUAGUCCACGCCCUAAACGAUGAAUGCUAGUUGUUGUGGAGCUUGUCUCUGCAGUAAUGCAGCUAACGCAUUAAGCAUUCCGCCUGGGGAGUACGGUCGCAAGAUUAAAACUCAAAGGAAUAGACGGGGACCCGCACAAGCGGUGGAGCAUGUGGUUUAAUUCGAAGAUACACGAAGAACCUUACCUAGGCUUGACAUUGAUAGAAUCCGCUAGAGAUAGUGGAGUGCUAGCUUGCUAGAACUUGAAAACAGGUGCUGCACGGCUGUCGUCAGCUCGUGUCGUGAGAUGUUGGGUUAAGUCCCGCAACGAGCGCAACCCUCGUCCUUAGUUGCUAACUAUUCGGUAGAGCACUCUAAGGAGACUGCCUUCGCAAGGAGGAGGAAGGUGAGGAUGACGUCAAGUCAUCAUGGCCCUUACGCCUAGGGCUACACACGUGCUACAAUGGGAAGCACAAAGAGAUGCAAUAUUGUGAAAUGGAGCAAAUCUAUAAAACUUCUCUCAGUUCGGAUUGUAGUCUGCAACUCGACUACAUGAAGCUGGAAUCGCUAGUAAUCGUAAAUCAGCUAUGUUACGGUGAAUACGUUCCCGGGUCUUGUACUCACCGCCCGUCACACCAUGGGAGUUGUAUUCGCCUUAAGUCGGAAUGCCAAACUGGCUACCGCCCACGGCGGAUGCAGCGACUGGGGUGAAGUCGUAACAAGGUAACC
RNAcentral lists this ribosomal RNA (1457 nucleotides) under uncultured bacterium. RNAcentral describes it as "16S ribosomal RNA". It matches the Rfam family "Bacterial small subunit ribosomal RNA". The record is from RNAcentral.